AGUACCGGAGCUAACGCGUGAAGUUGACCGCCUGGGGAGUACGGCCGCAAGGUUAAAACUCAAAGGAAUUGACGGGGACCCGCACAAGCGGUGGAUGAUGUGGAUUAAUUCGAUGCAACGCGAAAAACCUUACCUACCCUUGACAUGUCCAGAAGCUCUUAGAGAUUUGAGUGUGCCCGAAAGGGAGCUGGAACACAGGUGCUGCAUGGCUGUCGUCAGCUCGUGUCGUGAGAUGUUGGGUUAAGUCCCGCAACGAGCGCAACCCUUGUCGUUAAUUGCCAUCAUUUAGUUGGGCACUUUAACGAGACUGCCGGUGACAAACCGGAGGAAGGUGGGGAUGACGUCAAGUCCUCAUGGCCCUUAUGGGUAGGGCUUCACACGUCAUACAAUGGUCGGUACAGAGGGUUGCCAAGCCGCGAGGUGGAGCCAAUCCCAGAAAGCCGAUUGUAGUCCGGAUUGCAG
This 462-nucleotide ribosomal RNA is filed under the name uncultured bacterium. Its description in RNAcentral is "bacterial SSU rRNA". It matches the Rfam family "Bacterial small subunit ribosomal RNA", at positions 842 to 1303 of the family's 1533-position model. The record is from RNAcentral.